GAGGAAAAGAAACCAACAGGGAUUGCCUCAGUAACUGCGAGUGAAGCGGCAAAAGCUCAAAUUUGAAAUCUGGCGUCUCUGACGUCCGAAUUGUGAUUUGGAGAGGCAACUUCGGUGAUGGCGCCGUCCUAAGUUCCUUGGAACAGGAUGACACAGAGGGUGAGAUCCCCGUACCUGGGUGGCUGUCCAUCGCCAUGUGAAGUGUCUUCGACGAGUCGAGUUGUUUGGGAAUGCAGCUCAAAAUGGGUGGUAAAUUUCAUCUAAAGCUAAAUAUUGGCGAGAGACCGAUAGCGCACAAGUAGAGUGAUCGAAAGAUGAAAAGCACUUUGAAAAGAGAGUUAAAAAGUACGUGAAAUUGUUGAAAGGGAAGCGCUUGAGACCAGACUCGAUUCGUGGUGAUCAGCUGUGCUUCUGUGCAGUGCACUUGCCAUGGAUUGGGCCAGCAUCGGUUCCGACGGUGGGAUAAAAGGUUGAGGAAUGUAGCUUCCUUCGGGGAGUGUUAUAGCCUCAGCCAUAAUGCCACCAGUUGGGACCGAGGACCGCGCUCCGGCUAGGAUGCUGGCGUAAUGGUCUUAAGCGACCCGUCUGAAAACACGGACCA
Molecule: ribosomal RNA, 601 nt
Filed under: uncultured Pyronemataceae
Lineage: Eukaryota; Fungi; Ascomycota; Pezizomycetes; Pezizales; Pyronemataceae
Description: eukaryotic LSU rRNA
Rfam family: Eukaryotic large subunit ribosomal RNA
Source: RNAcentral